AUACGUAGGGGGCGAGCGUUGUCCGGAAUGACUGGGCGUAAAGGGCGUGUAGGCGGCCGAUUAAGUCUGGAGUGAAAGUCCUGCUUUCAAGGUGGGAAUUGCUUUGGAGACUGGUUGGCUUGAGUGCGGAAGAGGUAAGUGGAAUUCCCAGUGUAGCGGUGAAAUGCGUAGAGAUUGGGAGGAACACCAGUGGCGAAGGCGACUUACAGGGCCGUAACUGACGCUGAGGCUCGAAAGCGUGGGGAUCGAACAGGAUUAGAUACCCUGGUAGUCCACGCUGUAAACGAUGAAUGCUAGGUGUAGCGGGUAUCGACCCCUGCUGUGCCGCAGUAAACACAAUAAGCAUUCCGCCUGGGGAGUGCGGCCGCAAGGUUGAAACUCAAAUGAAUUGUCGGGU
RNAcentral lists this ribosomal RNA (397 nucleotides) under uncultured bacterium. RNAcentral describes it as "partial 16S ribosomal RNA". It matches the Rfam family "Bacterial small subunit ribosomal RNA", at positions 523 to 918 of the family's 1533-position model. The record is from RNAcentral.